This 459-nucleotide ribosomal RNA is filed under the name uncultured bacterium. Its description in RNAcentral is "partial 16S ribosomal RNA". It matches the Rfam family "Bacterial small subunit ribosomal RNA", at positions 339 to 795 of the family's 1533-position model. The record is from RNAcentral.
CUACGGGGCGCACCAGUGAGGAAUAUUGGACAAUGGGCGAGAGCCUGAUCCAGCCAUGCCGCGUGCAGGAAGACUGCCCUAUGGGUUGUAAACUGCUUUUAUACGGGAAGAAACACCGCUACGUGUAGCGGCUUGACGGUACCGUAAGAAUAAGGAUCGGCUAACUCCGUGCCAGCAGCCGCGGUAAUACGGAGGAUCCAAGCGUUAUCCGGAAUCAUUGGGUUUAAAGGGUCCGUAGGUGGAUAAUUAAGUCAGAGGUGAAAUCCUGCAGCUCAACUGUAGAAUUGCCUUUGAUACUGGUUGUCUUGAGUUAUUAUGAAGUAGUUAGAAUAUGUAGUGUAGCGGUGAAAUGCAUAGAUAUUACAUAGAAUACCAAUUGCGAAGGCAGAUUACUAAUAAUGAACUGACACUGAUGGACGAAAGCGUGGGGGGCGAACAGGAUUAGAUACCCCCGUAGUC